Molecule: ribosomal RNA, 485 nt
Filed under: Gammatricula chinensis
Lineage: Eukaryota; Metazoa; Mollusca; Gastropoda; Littorinimorpha; Pomatiopsidae
Description: partial 16S large subunit ribosomal RNA
Rfam family: Bacterial large subunit ribosomal RNA
Source: RNAcentral
AUUAAAUAUAUAAAGAGUCGAGCCUGCCCAGUGAUAAACUUUAAACGGCCGCGGUACUCUGACCGUGCAAAGGUAGCAUAAUCAUUUGCCCUAUAAUUGAGGGCUUGUAUGAACGGUUUGACAAAAGCAUGACUGUCUCCUUAAAAUUUUAUAAAAUUUGGUUUUUAGGUGAAGAAACCUAAAUAUUAUUAAAAGACAAGAAGACCCUAUCGAGCUUUAGAAUAAUUAAUUAAAAAAUAUAAUUAAAAUAAUUAAUUUUAACUAAAAACUUUGGUUGGGGCGACUAAGGAACAUAUAAAGCUUCCUAUAUUAAAAUAUGCUCAUAAGCUAUGAUCCAAAAAAUUUGAUUAAAAAAAUUAGUUACCGUAGGGAUAACAGCAUAAUUUUUUUUGAGAGUUCUUAUCGAAAAAAAAGUUUGUGACCUCGAUGUUGGACUAGGAUAUCUUAAAGAUGCAGAAGUCUUUAAAAGUUGGUCUGUCCGACCA